AAAAAAAAACGAAACUCAGGUUCUCCCCGUAACCCUGCAGAGGAUAGACUAUAUUCUUUACAAAGAGAGAGUUCACCGUUUGGCUUCCAUUUUUUCUCCUCUCCAUUCGAUUACUAUUUUCAGAGGGCAAAGACGAUGGUAAUAGUGGGUCCCAUUUGAAUCUUUAAAAUCAGAUAUGUUGAAGCUAUUUGCGAGGAUUGCUGGGUACUUCAGCAAUCGGAAUCUGGUUGGGGUGGACAAAGCGGGCAACCGGUACUUCACCAGAAAGGACGAGAUUGAUGGUAUCAUGAAAGAGAAAAGAUGGGUUGUGUUCAGGGGAGAGGAGGAUUCAACUUGUAUUCCAGUUGUGGAUAUUGAGAUACUAGCCAAGCUGAGGAUAAAACAGUCCCCAGUUGAAUGGAUAUGCUGGCUUAAUGGGCAGCGCAAAAUAGCUCCAACACCUGAGGAAAUUAUGGAACUGGAAGCUAGGCGUGAACGAGUUCGGCAAAAUGUUGCUCGUCUCAAGAAAGAAGAGGAGGAAAAGAGAGCCAAAGAAGGGAAUGCUUGCAAAACCAGCAUCAGUGGUAAAGUUGGAGGUCCAGACUUGAAAAGUUUCAUUCGGCAAUUUCCAGAUGCAUCAGAAGGUGGCAAAGUCAAGGAAGCUUCUGAUGCAAUGGAUGGCACGAGGUAGGUUAGCCCAAAUUUUUAUUUAUGAUAGUACCAAGAUAAAGUAACAGUAAAGCUAUAAUUUUUCAAAGCUUGGAGCAUUUAAUGUAAUGCGGAACUCUAAAGAGAGAGUGACAGAGAAAGCAGAAACAGAGCCAGAGUCUUCGGAACCUACCGGAUCUGGCGCGUCAUUUAAGCCAGGGACAUGGCAACCUCCAUCAUGAAUGAUGAUCUCAUGUUCAGGGGUUCGCCAACACAAAAUUGCGUGGUCCAAGCCAUAAUACUUUUGUUCCAUGGAGUUAAAUGUUUUUGGCACACUGCUCCAUCUAUGUUCUUUAAAUCAGUCUUCUCUAAAAUUUAGGUAGUUUUUGUGUGUAACAGUGCAAGUGAAAUUAUGAUUCGAACUUCUCUCUUCAACAUACAAAUGAGUACGUUUUCCCCCAACCUGAAAUUACAGUUUAUUGAGCAUUACUAAAGUUCCUUGCCAGAUGUGAUUCUUUCUGCAGAUAUGUUGGAGAAUAAUAAUAAAGAACCUUUUCCCAUUUU
RNA transcript from Juglans microcarpa x Juglans regia, 1191 nucleotides. RefSeq lists it as uncharacterized. The transcript is spliced from 10 exons. Lineage: Eukaryota; Viridiplantae; Streptophyta; Magnoliopsida; Fagales; Juglandaceae. The record is from RefSeq and is a predicted model, not a curated record.